RNAcentral lists this ribosomal RNA (440 nucleotides) under uncultured bacterium. Its description in RNAcentral is "partial 16S ribosomal RNA". It matches the Rfam family "Bacterial small subunit ribosomal RNA", at positions 338 to 795 of the family's 1533-position model. The record is from RNAcentral.
CCUACGGGGGACAGCAGUGGGGGAUAUUGCACAAUGGGGGGAACCCUGAUGCAGCGACGCCGCGUGGGUGAAGGAGCGCCUCGGCGCGUAAAGCCCUGUCAGCAGGGAAGAAAAUGACGGUACCUGACGAAGAAGCCCCGGCUAACUACGUGCCAGCAGCCGCGGUAAUACGUAGGGGGCAAGCGUUAUCCGGAUUUACUGGGUGUAAAGGGGGCGUAGACGGCGAUGCAAGCCAGGAGUGAAAGCCCGGGGCCCAACCCCGGGACUGCUCUUGGAACUGCGUGGCUGGAGUGCAGGAGGGGCAGGCGGAAUUCCUGGUGUAGCGGUGAAAUGCGUAGAUAUCAGGAGGAACACCGGUGGCGAAGGCGGCCUGCUGGACUGCAACUGACGUUGAGGCCCGAAAGCGUGGGGAGCAAACAGGAUUAGAUACCCGGGUAGUC